UGGGGAAUUUUGGACAAUGGGGAAACCCUUAUCCAGCCAUCCCGGGGGUGCGGUGGAGGCCUUCGGGUUGUAAAGGACUUUUGGCAGGAAAGAAACGGCAUGGGUUAAUACCCCGGGAAACCGACGGUACCUGCAGAAUAAGCACCGGCUAACUACGUUCCAGCAGCCGCGGUAAUACGUAGGGUGCAAGCGUUAAUCGGAAUUACUGGGCGUAAAGCGUGCGCAGGCGGUUCGGAAAGAAAGAUGUGAAAUCCCAGAGCUCAACUUUGGAACUGCAUUUUUAACUACCGGGCUAGAGUGUGUCAGAGGGAGGUGGAAUUCCGCGUGUAGCAGUGAAAUGCGUAGAUAUGCGGAGGAACACCGAUGGCGAAGGCAGCCUCCUGGGAUAACACUGACGCUCAUGCACGAAAGCGUGGGGAGCAAACAGG
This 428-nucleotide ribosomal RNA is filed under the name Acidobacteriota bacterium. RNAcentral's name for it is "Acidobacteria bacterium partial 16S ribosomal RNA". It matches the Rfam family "Bacterial small subunit ribosomal RNA", at positions 355 to 776 of the family's 1533-position model. The record is from RNAcentral. Lineage: Bacteria; Pseudomonadati; Acidobacteriota.